UUUAUAACUCUGGCAUAAACAGAUACCUUUACCUUGUGGAUAGAGUUGAACCUGCUAUUAUAUUUAAUUGCAAACGUUUGGGUUUUCUAUAAAAGAUUAAUAAUUUAAUUGCUAUGGUGUAGAAAAGUUGCAAUAUAUGGGCCCAUGGUAGCUCUGAUCACUGUAGUUGGAAAUUCAGUUGUUACUAAAGGACUGUGGCAUGCCCAUGCAUUUUGGACAUACUAUUGUCUAGCUCGAUAUUUUAAUUUGAUUUCCUAUUUUGUCCUCCUUUAAUGGGCCUCAAUGCCUCAUUUCUUAUUUAUCAUUGUAAGAAUUUGUGACUUUUUGAAUACAGGAUCAAAAAAUAUGACCCAUUUUGAAGGUUGUUAUAUAAGUAAAUCUGGUAGUGCCUAUAAUUUUGGUUCCAGUAACAAUUGUUCUUGGGAGCAUUUUGGUAGGCUUGGUGUAUGACCUUGUUGCAUCCCUGAUGGCAACAUUUGAGGUUGUUGGGGAGGGACAUGAAGAUAAAUUUAUUCAUUGCAUUGUGGUAUGCUUCACUUAUCUCAUUCUGAUGAUUACCCUUGGUUUGUUCAAUUUCUUGUAUUGAAUCCUUUUCAAAAAUUAAAUUAUUCAAUU
Long non-coding RNA from Cryptomeria japonica (Japanese cedar), 615 nucleotides. RefSeq lists it as uncharacterized. NCBI's taxonomy places the organism in Eukaryota, Viridiplantae, Streptophyta, Pinopsida, Cupressales, Cupressaceae. The transcript has 3 exons. The record is from RefSeq and is a predicted model, not a curated record.